AUUGAACGCUGGCGGCAUGCCUUACACAUGCAAGUCGAACGGUAACAGGUCUUCGGAUGCUGACGAGUGGCGAACGGGUGAGUAAUACAUCGGAACGUGCCCGAUCGUGGGGGAUAACGAAGCGAAAGCUUUGCUAAUACCGCACACGAUCUACGGAUGAAAGCAGGGGACCGCAAGGCCUUGCGCGAACGGAGCGGCCGAUGGCAGAUUAGGUAGUUGGUGGGAUAAAAGCUUACCAAGCCGACGAUAUGUAGCUGGUCUGAGAGGACGACCACACCAACUGGGACUGAGACACGGCCCAGACUCCUACGGGAGGCAGCAGUGGGGAAUUUUGGACCUGGGGCGAAAGCCUGAUCCAGCCAUGCCGCGUGCAGGAUGAAGGCCUUCGGGUUGUAAACUGCUUUUGUACGGAACGAAAAGACUCUGGUUAAUACCUGGGGUCCAUGACGGUACCGUAAGAAUAAGCACCGGCUAACUACGUGCCAGCCGCCGCAGUAA
RNAcentral lists this ribosomal RNA (498 nucleotides) under uncultured bacterium. RNAcentral describes it as "partial 16S ribosomal RNA". It matches the Rfam family "Bacterial small subunit ribosomal RNA", at positions 30 to 523 of the family's 1533-position model. The record is from RNAcentral.